Non-coding RNA from Dipodomys ordii (Ord's kangaroo rat), 69 nucleotides. The record is from Rfam. Lineage: Eukaryota; Metazoa; Chordata; Mammalia; Rodentia; Heteromyidae.
GGAGAUUUAGCUCAACGGAAGAGCACUUGCCUGGCAAGUACAAGGCCCUGAGUUCUAGCCUCAGCUCUG